Agelaius phoeniceus (red-winged blackbird) is the source of this 314-nucleotide non-coding RNA. Lineage: Eukaryota; Metazoa; Chordata; Aves; Passeriformes; Icteridae. The record is from RefSeq and is a predicted model, not a curated record.
UUUAAAACAGUGGGCCUCUAAUGCUCCCUUGUAAAUUGUUACACACAUCCCAAAUGCUCUUUUGUAGUGUGUUACCAUGUUUAGCUCUUGAAUGAUCACAUCAGUACCCUCAGAUUGUCCAUUGCCUCCCCUGCACUGUGGAUCCUUCUCAGUGCAAAGACUGUCCUGAGUGUGGAUUGGGAAGAGCGACCACCUCGACUUUAAUGUUGUAUUUAGCUCAGACAAACUGCCAGAGAAAAGGAAAAUCUUGCAAACCCAUCUUAAUGAGGUAUGCCAUAUCCAUAUCCUGAUUAAAAGAACUGCUUAAAAGAAAA